RNAcentral lists this long non-coding RNA (963 nucleotides) under Piliocolobus tephrosceles (Ugandan red Colobus). RNAcentral describes it as "lncRNA (ENSPTEG00000009887.1)". Lineage: Eukaryota; Metazoa; Chordata; Mammalia; Primates; Cercopithecidae. The record is from RNAcentral.
AAUAUAGAAAAGAAUGAUUAUGCACCACAUAUGAUUAUUUCAAGGGGAACACCUACUUUUUUAUUUUAUCAAAAGUAAUAUAUAUUAUAAUUUUACAGUGUUUAAACAUGGGUUCUAUAUUUUUAUACACACAUGCAUGCUUUGUGUAUAGUUCCUUACUCGUUUGCUGGCUAAGUCGUUCACUUUUUAUUUAUAUAUUUUUUUUUAAAUAAAAUUUUAGCGGUAAAGGAAUUAAACUGGAUGAGUACAAACCUAAUGACGUUAUUAACAAACUUGAUCAUGUAAAUUCUUUUUUUGCAUUUUCUUUUUAUUUUCCCUUUUUAUUUUAAAUUAUAUUUUUAUGCAUUUCUCAUUUUUUACAAUUUAUAUUUUUUAUUAUAGUUAAUCAGAUCGCCUAAAAACAUUAAAGAACAAAUGCUAGAGAAGAUGGAAUUAAUACAUACAAGGAUGCAUCAGUUUGGCUUACUAACUAUGUGGUACGUUUUAAAAAAAAAAAAAAAACUAAAACGUAAUUGUUAACCUCUUUAGUAUAUAUAUGAGUGAAAAACCUUAAUGUAUUAUAAAAUUACGCUCUAUAUUUUUGUUAGGAUGACAGAAUCGAAAUUUAUAGAAAACAUGCUCAUAAAAAGACACAUAAAGGAUUUACCAGAAAGCAACGGUGAAGAUAUCAUAUAUAAUGAAGUAUUAACAUCAUUAAUAGAAGAAGACAUGCAAAGAAACGAUUUAAUUGAAGAUAGCUUAAAUUACACUAAUGAGAAAAUUAAGGAAGCUGAAAAAAGUUGUUUUAUAGCAGCAAUGGUAAAUAUUUAAAUCUAUAUUAAUUAAUAUAUUUUUGUAUAUAUUCACCUAUACAUAUUUAUAUAUAAGCAAUUGUAAAUAGUUUCCACGUUACACAUAACUAUUGUUGAAUAUAAGCUAGCCAUUUUUUUUUUUUUUUUUUUUUUUUAAUAUAUUACUUUAGAU